RNAcentral lists this ribosomal RNA (305 nucleotides) under uncultured bacterium. Its description in RNAcentral is "bacterial SSU rRNA". It matches the Rfam family "Bacterial small subunit ribosomal RNA", at positions 333 to 655 of the family's 1533-position model. The record is from RNAcentral.
UUAGUCCUACGGGGGGCAGCAGUGGGGAAUAUUGGACAAUGGGGGGAACCCUGAUCCAGCGACGCCGCGUGAGUGAAGAAGUAUUUCGGUAUGUAAAGCUCUAUCAGCAGGGAAGAAAAUGACGGUACCUGAGUAAGAAGCCCCGGCUAACUACGUGCCAGCAGCCGCGGUAAUACGUAGGGGGCAAGCGUUAUCCGGAUUUACUGGGUGUAAAGGGAGCGUAGACGGCCAGACAAGUCUGAAGUGAAAAUCCAGCGCUUAACGUUGGAAGUGCUUUGGAAACUGCCGGGCUGGAGUGCAGGAGG